UACGGGAGGCAGCAGGGGGGAAUAUUGGACAAUGGGCGCAAGCCUGAUCCAGCCAUGCCGCGUGUGUGAAGAAGGCCUUCGGGUUGUAAAGCACUUUCAGCGAGGAGGAAGGGGUGAGUGUUAAUAGUACUCAUCUUUGACGUUACUCGCAGAAGAAGCACCGGCUAACUCUGUGCCAGCAGCCGCGGUAAUACAGAGGGUGCAAGCGUUAAUCGGAAUUACUGGGCGUAAAGCGCACGUAGGCGGUUUUUUAAGUCAGAUGUGAAAGCCCCGGGCUCAACCUGGGAAUUGCAUUUGAAACUGGAAAACUAGAGUGUGUGAGAGGGGGGUAGAAUUCCAAGCGUAGCGGUGAAAUGCGUAGAGAUUUGGAGGAAUACCAGUGGCGAAGGCGGCCCCCUGGCACAACACUGACGCUCAGGUGCGAAAGCGUGGGGAGCAAACAGGAUUAGAUACCCUGGUAGUCCACGCCGUAAACGAUGUCUACUAGCUGUUCGUGACCUUGUGUCGUGAGUAGCGCAGCUAACGCAUUAAGUAGACCGCCUGGGGAGUACGGUCGCAAGAUUAAAACUCAAAGGAAUUGACGG
This 584-nucleotide ribosomal RNA is filed under the name Rheinheimera sp. RNAcentral's name for it is "bacterial SSU rRNA". It matches the Rfam family "Bacterial small subunit ribosomal RNA", at positions 340 to 916 of the family's 1533-position model. Lineage: Bacteria; Pseudomonadati; Pseudomonadota; Gammaproteobacteria; Chromatiales; Chromatiaceae. RNAcentral also lists the same sequence under 1 other name. The record is from RNAcentral.